UCUCUUCGGAGAUACUCGAGUGGCGAACGGGUGAGUAACACGUGGGUAAUCUGCCCUGCACUUCGGGAUAAGCCUGGGAAACUGGGUCUAAUACCGAAUAGGACCACUUGGCGCAUGCCUUGUGGUGGAAAGCUUUUGCGGUGUGGGAUGGGCCCGCGGCCUAUCAGCUUGUUGGUGGGGUGAUGGCCUACCAAGGCGACGACGGGUAGCCGGCCUGAGAGGGUGUCCGGCCACACUGGGACUGAGAUACGGCCCAGACUCCUACGGGAGGCAGCAGUGGGGAAUAUUGCACAAUGGGCGCAAGCCUGAUGCAGCGACGCCGCGUGGGGGAUGACGGCCUUCGGGUUGUAAACCUCUUUCACCAUCGACGAAGGUCCGGGUUUUCUCGGAUUGACGGUAGGUGGAGAAGAAGCACCGGCCAACUACGUGCCAGCAGCCGCGGUAAUACGUAGGGUGCGAGCGUUGUCCGGAAUUACUGGGCGUAAAGAGCUCGUAGGUGGUUUGUCGCGUUGUUCGUGAAAUCUC
Molecule: ribosomal RNA, 525 nt
Filed under: Mycobacterium nebraskense
Lineage: Bacteria; Bacillati; Actinomycetota; Actinomycetes; Mycobacteriales; Mycobacteriaceae
Description: bacterial SSU rRNA
Rfam family: Bacterial small subunit ribosomal RNA
Source: RNAcentral